CAGUAGCCGCGGUAAUACGAAGGGGGCUAGCGUUGUUCGGAUUUACUGGGCGUAAAGCGCACGUAGGCGGAUCGAUCAGUCAGGGGUGAAAUCCCAGAGCUCAACUCUGGAACUGCCUUUGAUACUGUCGAUCUGGAGUAUGGAAGAGGUGAGUGGAAUUCCGAGUGUAGAGGUGAAAUUCGUAGAUAUUCGGAGGAACACCAGUGGCGAAGGCGGCUUACUGGCUCAUUCUAGACGCUGAGGUGCGAAAGCGUGGGGAGCAAACAGGAUUAGAUACCCCGGUAGUCCCUGUCUCUUAUAC
This 301-nucleotide ribosomal RNA is filed under the name uncultured bacterium. Its description in RNAcentral is "partial 16S ribosomal RNA". It matches the Rfam family "Bacterial small subunit ribosomal RNA", at positions 509 to 807 of the family's 1533-position model. The record is from RNAcentral.